UUCCAAUCACCGAGAACUUAAGACUGA
RNAcentral lists this non-coding RNA (27 nucleotides) under Cricetulus griseus (Chinese hamster). Lineage: Eukaryota; Metazoa; Chordata; Mammalia; Rodentia; Cricetidae. RNAcentral also lists the same sequence under 1 other name. The record is from RNAcentral.